Long non-coding RNA from Anneissia japonica, 190 nucleotides. RefSeq lists it as uncharacterized. The transcript is spliced from 2 exons. Lineage: Eukaryota; Metazoa; Echinodermata; Crinoidea; Comatulida; Comatulidae. The record is from RefSeq and is a predicted model, not a curated record.
GGGCUGUGCAGGCACGUGGGAAUUAGAAAGUUGGGCAAAAGGUACUUGUUUUGAUAGGUCAAUUCGAACAUCGCACAAUAUAAUCUGGGUAGCAAGGUUACUGGCGAUUGCUUUCUCUUCUAUAAAACCUACAGGUAACGGUAGGGCCUAGCCUACUAAAAUACAAGAAACAUUGGGGUUUCCCCAACAA